UACGAAGGGGGCUAGCGUUGUUCGGAAUUACUGGGCGUAAAGCGCACGUAGGCGGAUAUUUAAGGCAGGGGUGAAAUCCCAGAGCUCAACUCUGGAACUGCCUUUGAUACUGGGUAUCUCGAGUAUGGAAGAGGUGAGUGGAAUUCCGAGUGUAGAGGUGAAAUUCGUAGAUAUUCGGAGGAACACCAGUGGCGAAGGCGGCUCACUGGUCCAUUACUGACGCUGAGGUGCGAAAGCGUGGGGAGCAAACAGG
Molecule: ribosomal RNA, 253 nt
Filed under: uncultured bacterium
Lineage: Bacteria
Description: partial 16S ribosomal RNA
Rfam family: Bacterial small subunit ribosomal RNA
Source: RNAcentral